Long non-coding RNA from Cydia pomonella (codling moth), 739 nucleotides. RefSeq lists it as uncharacterized. NCBI's taxonomy places the organism in Eukaryota, Metazoa, Arthropoda, Insecta, Lepidoptera, Tortricidae. The record is from RefSeq and is a predicted model, not a curated record. The transcript has 2 exons.
UGUGAAAAAUACUUACUAAUAACUCGAUUCGAAUAAUAUUCCGAUUUUAAAGGUUAUCUGCACAUGUUGGACUGAUGUUUCACUAAGGUUGUCACUGUUUUAAGGUAAUAAUAAUAAUAAAACAGCAAAUUAUCGUAUCAUGGGAACUAUUAGUUAGUUCAAGGCGAUUUCAAUAAAAACACUGUUCAAAUUCAAAGCCGAUGACGUCAACUGUCACCAGUGGUCAUAAACCUUUUUUACGUUUGUUUAUUAUGAUCUCGGUCGCUUUUCGGUGAAGGAAAACAUCGUGAGGAAAUCAGACUAAUCCCAAUAAGGCCUAGUCUACUCUCCAGUUGGAAGGUCAGAUGGCAGUCGCUUUCGUAAAAACUAGUGCCUACGUCAAUUUCGGGAUAAGUUGCCAAGCGGACCCCAGACUCUCAAGGCCGUGGCAAAAUGCCGGGACAACGCGAGGAAGAAGAAGUUUUACAAAUAGAGAGGAGAGGGAUGGGGACACCUGCACCAACAUUUAAGUAUCGUAUUUCUGCAACAUGGAGAUAUAUGUCAGUAAAGUCGACUAUCUCCUAGAUCCCUACAACCACUUCCCAUACAAAAAGUUCAUGAAGCGCGCUUAUUGUUACGAAAUUACGAUUGUAAGUUACAAUAAAUACAACUCUCAACAAACUCAUUGCCCUCAUUGGACAUCGGUCGCACUCGCAAGUUACAACACCGGCCUACAUUAAUAAAAUGUUUUGGACUGAUA